Molecule: ribosomal RNA, 248 nt
Filed under: uncultured bacterium
Lineage: Bacteria
Description: partial 16S ribosomal RNA
Rfam family: Bacterial small subunit ribosomal RNA
Source: RNAcentral
UGAGGAAUCUUGCGCAAUGGGGGAAACCCUGACGCAGCAACGCCGCGUGAGUGAGGAAGGCCUUCGGGUCGUAAAGCUCUGUCAGAUGGGAAGAAAUGGGUGGGGGUGAAUAUCGUCCACCCUUGACGCUACCAUCAGAGGAAGCACCGGCUAACUCCGUGCCAGCAGCCGCGGUAAUACGGGGGGUGCAAGCGUUGUGCGGAUGCAUUGGGCGUAAAGCGCGCGUAGGCGGCUUGGUAAGUCAGAGG